This 468-nucleotide ribosomal RNA is filed under the name uncultured bacterium. Its description in RNAcentral is "partial 16S ribosomal RNA". It matches the Rfam family "Bacterial small subunit ribosomal RNA", at positions 28 to 507 of the family's 1533-position model. The record is from RNAcentral.
GACGAACGCUGGCGGCGUGCUUAACACAUGCAAGUCGAACGGUAAGGCCCUGCUUUUGCGGGUUGCUCGAGUGGCGCACGGGUGAGUAACACGUGAGUAACCUGCCCUUGACUUUGGGAUAACUUCAGGAAACUGGGGCUAAUACCGGAUAGGAGCUCCUGCUGCAUGGUUGGGUUUGGAAAGUUUCGGCGGUUGGGGAUGGACUCGCGGCCUAUCAGCUUGUUGGUGGGGUAGUGGCUUACCAAGGCUUUGACGGGUAGCCGGCCUGAGAGUGUGACCGGCCACAUUGGGACUGAGAUACGGCCCAGACUCCUACGGGAGGCAGCAGUGGGGAAUAUUGCACGAUGGGCGGAAGCCGGAUGCAGCAACGCCGCGUGCUGGAGGACGGCCUUCGGGUGGUAAACCGCUUUCGCCUGUAACGAAGCGUGAGUGACGGUAAUGGGUAAAGAAGCACCGGCUAACUACGUG